RNAcentral lists this transfer RNA (73 nucleotides) under Rattus norvegicus (Norway rat). It matches the Rfam family "tRNA". Rfam says of the family: Transfer RNA (tRNA) molecules are approximately 80 nucleotides in length. Their secondary structure includes four short double-helical elements and three loops (D, anti-codon, and T loops). The record is from Rfam by way of RNAcentral. Lineage: Eukaryota; Metazoa; Chordata; Mammalia; Rodentia; Muridae.
GGGGAUUUAGCUCAGCGGUAGAGCGCUUGCCUAGCGAGCUAGCGCAAGGCCCUGGGUUCGGUCCCCAGCUCCG